CCUUUCCAUUCCCUACUCUCUCUCACAACUCACAUCAACUUUAUCAGAUCAACUUUCUCCUUCCUUUCUCUCUCUUUCUCUCAGAUCUAGAUCGGAAGUGUUUGAACCACCGGUGGAGGAAACUAGGGUUUCGUCGUCCGUGAUGAAAGAUGUCUGGAGUGCUGAUGGUUUGAGAUGAAAUCAGAUGAUGAAAACACACAGGGUUGAACACCGAUUUGAAGAAACCCUAACUGAAGGUUUCGUCAGGUCAUAUCUGCUGUGGUUUCUUUCGGCUUUUCUUCCACAUCAACGAUUAGCAAACAAAAAGCUGCAGUUCAACCAGGGGAAAAUAUAUGUUGUAUGGUGGGUUGGAGAGGUGGGGAGUCAACUGAUGAUGGUGAAACUACAUAGGGUCAAGUAUCCUGUGUUAUUGGGAUUCUAAUGGGGCCUCUGGUGUGGAAGAAGAAGUUACAAAAGUAAUAAUAAGAGCAUUCCUGGAUGAGAAACCACAUCAGCAAGUGCGUUCUCAAUCAGAUCAACCAUAUCCCAUGGCUCGAAAGCUAGCCCGCUUUCACAGUCGAAGACAUGUGGCAUGAAUAUCAGUUUCAACUCUCAAAACAAUAUCAAGAGUUUCACAGGCCUCACGUCAUCCUUCUUAGCCAAGGAAAAACAAACGCUUUUGAUGAGCUUUAUAGUUGAUGAUACAAACGGUGAAACGCAAGAUGAUGACAUCACCAGCGAAGAUAGCGAGUCAGAUGAUGCCGAUGAUCAUUUCGAUCCCGUUUGUGCGAUAUGUGAUAAUGGUGGCAGGCUUACAUGAGAGAUGUUUUAGGUCGUUUCAUGCAAUCCCAGAUUCUGAAGAGGCACAAGAGUCCAAUUGUGAAUCCCUUUUUUUUAUCUCCUGAAGAACUGGAGAGUCAAAACGAAUAUAAAUGUGAAAAUUGUCAGUAUAGUCUGCACCAGUACUUUGUCUGUGGUGAACUAGGGUCUUCUGAUAAAUCUACAAAUACAGAGGUUUUUCGUUGUAGUUCCGCAACGUGUGGCCACUUUUAUCACCCGAAAUGCGUAGCCAAGCUGCUCCAGAAAAAUGAUAAGACCGAUCGACAGAAGCUUCAAGAAAAAAUUGUUGCAGGGUAACCGUUUAUAUUUCCAGCUCACAAGUGUGCCAUCUGUAAGCGAACCGAAAACGAAAAAGUCGAAGAUUUGCAGUUUGCAGUUUGUUGAUGCAGAGGUUGAAGGGUUUUGUCCCAAUUCAAUAGAAAUGUUAUGUACAAAGAUCUGAUACGCUGACUACGUGAGUGAUAUUAAUUUUUAUAAUUGGCAUGUGGGACUUCUUGAUUACAGUUAUGAGAUGCAUGGACGUGUGAUCUUGGUCGUGUCUCCGAGAGCUUAACCAUCUGUAUAUGGUGUGAAUGUUUUGGCGCGUACUUUUGCAGCAUGGUUCGGGUAAUAACAGGUCUGAACCGAAAGAUCUGAGAAACCGUUGGAAUGGGAACAGAUGCUCGCAACUAGAAUCAUGAUCUGAUUAGAUGACACUGACUGUCUCCUGCAGUCAACUCAGCCACAAGAUAUUGUUUCUCAGGCGAGGCAGAGGCUGUAAAUUCUUCUAGAAAGCUUGGCGGCAGCCCUUCAGUUAUUUGUAUGUUACCAUAGAUUAGUGUAUGAGGACAAUGAAGGAGACAUGUGCUUGCUGGUGGUGAAUAGAGAUUUUUUUUUCCUA
This is a long non-coding RNA of Helianthus annuus (common sunflower), 1699 nucleotides long. RefSeq lists it as uncharacterized. Lineage: Eukaryota; Viridiplantae; Streptophyta; Magnoliopsida; Asterales; Asteraceae. The record is from RefSeq and is a predicted model, not a curated record. The transcript has 10 exons.